This 64-nucleotide transfer RNA is filed under the name Bikasha collaris. Its description in RNAcentral is "tRNA-Glu". Lineage: Eukaryota; Metazoa; Arthropoda; Insecta; Coleoptera; Chrysomelidae. The record is from RNAcentral.
AUUUAUAUAGUUUAAAUUUAAAACAUUACAUUUUCAUAGUAAAAUUAGAAAAAUCUUAUAAAUA